RNAcentral lists this ribosomal RNA (748 nucleotides) under uncultured bacterium. RNAcentral describes it as "bacterial SSU rRNA". It matches the Rfam family "Bacterial small subunit ribosomal RNA", at positions 1 to 728 of the family's 1533-position model. The record is from RNAcentral.
AAUUCGAUUGAGUUUGAUCAUGGCUCAGAAUCAACGCUGGCGGCGUGCCUCAGACAUGCAAGUCGAACGCGAAAAGCCUCUUCGGGGGCUGAGUAGAGUGGCGCACGGGUGAGUAACACGUGGAUAAUUUGCCUUCGGGUGGGGAAUAACAAUCGGAAACGAUUGCUAAUACUGCAUAAUGCAGCGGCAUCUAUGAUGACAGUUGUUAAAGCGGGGGAUCGCAAGACCUCGCGCCUGAAGAGAAGUCCGCGUCAGAUUAGCUAGUUGGUAGGGUAACGGCCUACCAAGGUGACGAUCUGUAGCCGGCCUGAGAGGGCGGUCGGCCACACUGACACUGAUAUACGGGUCAGACUCCUACGGGAGGCAGCAGUCGGGAAUUUUGGGCAAUGGGCGCAAGCCUGACCCAGCAACGCCGCGUGAAGGAUGAAGCUUUUCGGAGUGUAAACUUCACAAGAAUGGGAAGAAUAAGUCUUGGAUAACACCCAAGAUGGUGACGGUACCAUUUGUAAGCUCCGGCUAACUCCGUGCCAGCAGCCGCGGUAAUACGGGGGGAGCAAGCGUUGUUCGGAUUUACUGGGCGUAAAGGGCGCGUAGGCGGCGCAACAAGUCACUUGUGAAAUCUCCGGGCUUAACUCGGAGCGGUCAAGUGAUACUGUCGUGCUAGAGUGCGGAAGGGGCAACUGGAAUUCUCGGUGUAGCGGUGAAAUGCGUAGAUAUCGAGAGGAACACCUGCGGCGAANGCGGGUUG